RNAcentral lists this ribosomal RNA (253 nucleotides) under uncultured bacterium. RNAcentral's name for it is "partial 16S ribosomal RNA". It matches the Rfam family "Bacterial small subunit ribosomal RNA", at positions 524 to 776 of the family's 1533-position model. The record is from RNAcentral.
UACGUAGGUUGCGAGCGUUGUCCGGAAUUAUUGGGCGUAAAGAGCUUGUAGGCGGUUUGUCGCGUCUGCCGUGAAAAUCCGAGGCUCAACCUCGGACUUGCGGUGGGUACGGGCAGACUAGAGUGUGGUAGGGGAGACUGGAAUUCCUGGUGUAGCGGUGAAAUGCGCAGAUAUCAGGAGGAACACCGAUGGCGAAGGCAGGGCUCUGGGCCACUACUGACGCUGAGAAGCGAAAGCAUGGGGAGCGAACAGG